CCUACGGGAGGCAGCAGUGGGGAAUUUUGGACAAUGGGCGCAAGCCUGAUCCAGCAAUGCCGCGUGAGUGAAGAAGGCCUUCGGGUUGUAAAGCUCUUUUGUCAGGGAAGAAACGGUGUGGGCUAAUAUCCCGCACUAAUGACGGUACCUGAAGAAUAAGCACCGGCUAACUACGUGCCAGCAGCCGCGGUAAUACGUAGGGUGCAAGCGUUAAUCGGAAUUACUGGGCGUAAAGCGUGCGCAGGCGGUUUUGUAAGUUUGUCGUGAAAUCCCCGGGCUCAACCUGGGAAUGGCGAUGAAGACUGCAAGGCUAGAAUCUGGCAGAGGGGGGUAGAAUUCCACGUGUAGCAGUGAAAUGCGUAGAGAUGUGGAGGAACACCGAUGGCGAAGGCAGCCCCCUGGGUCAAGAUUGACGCUCAUGCACGAAAGCGUGGGGAGCAAACAGGAUUAGAUACCCUGGUAGUCCACGCCCUAAACGAUGUCUACUAGUUGUUCGGGUUUUAAUUAACUUGGUAACGCAGCUAACGCGUGAAGUACGACCGCGUGGGGAGUACGGUCGCAAGAUUAAAACGUAAGAGUAGUACGACGNGAGAGAGCGACGACGACGACGACGGAGGAGGAG
RNAcentral lists this ribosomal RNA (622 nucleotides) under uncultured bacterium. RNAcentral describes it as "bacterial SSU rRNA". It matches the Rfam family "Bacterial small subunit ribosomal RNA", at positions 338 to 1416 of the family's 1533-position model. The record is from RNAcentral.